AGUGAACGCUGGCGGUAGGCCUAACACAUGCAAGUCGAACGGCAGCACAGGAGAGCUUGCUCUCUAGGUGGCGAGUGGCGGACGGGUGAGGAAUACAUCGGAAUCUGCCCAGUCGUGGGGGAUAACGUAGGGAAACUUACGCUAAUACCGCAUACGACCUUCGGGUGAAAGAGGGGGAUCGCAAGACCUCUCGCGAUUGGAUGAGCCGAUGUCGGAUUAGCUAGUUAGCGGGGUAAUGGCCCACCAAGGCGACGAUCCGUAGCUGGUCUGAGAGGAUGAUCAGCCACACUGGAACUGAGACACGGUCCAGACUCCUACGGGAGGCAGCAGUGGGGAAUAUUGGACAAUGGGCGCAAGCCUGAUCCAGCCAUACCGCGUGGGUGAAGGAGGCCUUCGGGUUGUAAAGCCCUUUUGUUGGGAAAGAAAUCUUUCAGGCUAAUACCCUGGGAGGAUGACGGUACCCAAAGAAUAAGCACCGGCUAACUUCGUG
Molecule: ribosomal RNA, 490 nt
Filed under: uncultured bacterium
Lineage: Bacteria
Description: partial 16S ribosomal RNA
Rfam family: Bacterial small subunit ribosomal RNA
Source: RNAcentral